Triticum dicoccoides is the source of this 608-nucleotide long non-coding RNA. RefSeq lists it as uncharacterized. Lineage: Eukaryota; Viridiplantae; Streptophyta; Magnoliopsida; Poales; Poaceae. The record is from RefSeq and is a predicted model, not a curated record. The transcript has 2 exons.
GUCUUGGCUGGCGCCAAGCUUUGAAGAAAAGAUCAAUUGUUGCAUACCCAACUAAGAACUACAAUAAAUCCUACAUUCAAUUCAGUCUUGGAAGUUGUGCUAGUCUGUGCCCAUUAUACAUCCGAAAGGAAAAUCAAAUGCAUACCAGAAUGAGUUUGAAGCGAAGAGGAUAAUUUAUAUCACGUGGCAGCUCGGGCGCCAUGACUCCAUCUCUUUGGUUGUAGUGCUUCAAUUCCUGAUAUAUACUUCUGCAUCCGUUCGACUGUGUCUAUGAUGACAGGUACUGAUGGAGGUAGUUCAAUGGGAGGUUCGUCCAACAACAUUGCUAAGGUUGAAGAUCAUUUUGGAGGGAUCAUCAUGCAGCCCUAUGAUGUUCCUGCUGGAGGCACUGCUCAUAUAUUUGUUGGACUUCAUACUAAAAUGGUACUUUAACUGAGAAGCUUGAUCCCCCAAACAAUCUCGUGCCUCUGACCAUGUAACAAGUAUCAAUGCUUCUUCCUUCAGUGCAAUAGGAGGUGCGUUGUGUCUCCAUGGAAUGCUAGUAAGCAUUGUAAGUGGAAAAUAUACCACUAGCUUGGUCGGUUCAGACUUAAGCCAAAAUUUCAGUA